This 497-nucleotide ribosomal RNA is filed under the name uncultured bacterium. RNAcentral's name for it is "partial 16S ribosomal RNA". It matches the Rfam family "Bacterial small subunit ribosomal RNA", at positions 28 to 507 of the family's 1533-position model. The record is from RNAcentral.
GAUGAACGCUGGCGGCGUGCCUAAUACAUGCAAGUCGAGCGAACAGACGAGGAGCUUGCUCCUCAGACGUUAGCGGCGGACGGGUGAGUAACCCGUGGAUAACCUACCUAUAAGACUGGGAUAACUUCGGGAAACCGGAGCUAAUACCGGAUAAUAUAUUGAACCGCAUGGUUCAAUAGCGAAUGACGGUUUUGCUGUUACUUAAAGAUGGAUCCGCGCCGCAUUAGCUAGUUGGUAAGGUAACGGCUUACCAAGGCAACGAGGCAUAGCCGACCUGAGAGGGUGAUCAGCCACACGGGAACUGAGACGCGCUCCAGACUCCUACGGGAGGCACCAGUAGGGAACCUUCCGCAAUGGGCGGAAGCCUGACGGACCAACGCCGCGUGAGUGAUGAAGGUCUUCGGAUCGUAAAACUCUGUUAUUAGGGAAGAACAAAUGUGUAAGUAACUAUGCACGUCUUGACGGUACCUUAUCAGAAAGCCACGGCUAACUACGUG